UUCGCCUGUGGCUUUGUUGGUUCAUUUGUUUCAGUUCACUACAUCCAGUUUGUUUUCCUGCGCCUCAUAUUUCAAGGAUUUAAAGGUUCUGAUGCUGACAACUUGGCACCUGAUGUACAGGACGGGUUUACAGUGCAGCAUGGUAGAGAUGGAGCAGCGCCGUGCAGUCUUUGCCUCCGUUGAACCCGACACAGACCUCCUCUGUCGAAUACUGAUCUAGUGCAGCCUCUAUCGUCUUCAGAGCAGACAGAACUUUCUCACCCAGCGGUGUCCCUGUGGUGAAUGAAAUCAACGAAGGACAUUUUACAGUUCUACAGAGGAUAUAAAAAAAAAUGUUAGGAGUAAUAUCAAUGAUCGCUCAUAUCUACAUCAAAUAAAAAUAAAAUUAUCUUCUCA
Solea senegalensis (Senegalese sole) is the source of this 396-nucleotide long non-coding RNA. RefSeq lists it as uncharacterized. The record is from RefSeq and is a predicted model, not a curated record. Lineage: Eukaryota; Metazoa; Chordata; Actinopteri; Pleuronectiformes; Soleidae. The transcript is spliced from 3 exons.